This 759-nucleotide ribosomal RNA is filed under the name Candidatus Phytoplasma prunorum. RNAcentral describes it as "bacterial SSU rRNA". It matches the Rfam family "Bacterial small subunit ribosomal RNA", at positions 430 to 1202 of the family's 1533-position model. The record is from RNAcentral. Lineage: Bacteria; Bacillati; Mycoplasmatota; Mollicutes; Acholeplasmatales; Acholeplasmataceae.
GUUCUUUUAUUAAAGAAGAAAAAAUGANGAAAAAUCAUUCUGACGGUAUUUAAUGAAUAAGCCCCGGCUAACUAUGUGCCAGCAGCUGCGGUAAUACAUGGGGGGCAAGCGUUAUCCGGAUUUAUUGGGCGUAAAGGGUGCGUAGGCGGUUAAAUAAGUCUAUGGUAUAAGUUCAACGCUUAACGUUGUGAUGCUAUAGAAACUGUUUGACUAGAGUUGGAUAGAGGCAAGUGGAAUUCCAUGUGUAGCGGUAAAAUGCGUAAAUAUAUGGAGGAACACCAGUAGCGAAGGCGGCUUGCUGGGUCUUAACUGACGCUGAGGCACGAAAGCGUGGGGAGCAAACAGGAUUAGAUACCCUGGUAGUCCACGCCGUAAACGAUGAGUACUAAGUGUUGGGUUAAACCAGUGCUGAAGUUAACACAUUAAGUACUCCGCCUGAGUAGUACGUACGCAAGUAUGAAACUUAAAGGAAUUGACGGGACUCCGCACAAGCGGUGGAUCAUGUUGUUUAAUUCGAAGAUACACGAAAAACCUUACCAGGUCUUGACAUACUCUGCAAAGCUAUAGAAAUAUAGUGGAGGUUAUCAGGGAUACAGGUGGUGCAUGGUUGUCGUCAGCUCGUGUCGUGAGAUGUUGGGUUAAGUCCCGCAACGAGCGCAACCCUUAUCACUAGUUACCAUCAUUUAGUUGGGCACUUUAGUGAGACUGCCAAUGAUAAAUUGGAGGAAGGUGGGGAUUACGUCAAAUCAUCAUGCCCCU